This is a non-coding RNA of Pantherophis guttatus, 147 nucleotides long. NCBI's taxonomy places the organism in Eukaryota, Metazoa, Chordata, Lepidosauria, Squamata, Colubridae. The record is from RefSeq and is a predicted model, not a curated record.
UUUGCAAUUAGUAAUAAACCUUAUGGGAAUGGAAAAGAAGAUUUGCCCAGAAGAAGUCAUGAUGGGAAGGAAGUGAGAAGAAUAAGAAGACAUGAAAUGGAUUCAGAAACUGAUUCUCCCAUUUUUACCAAUAAAUAUCUGCAGAGA